CAUCCCAGUUCGGAUCGCAGGCUGCAACCCGCCUGCGUGAAGUUGGAAUCGCUAGUAAUCGCGGAUCAGCAUGCCGCGGUGAAUACGUUCCCGGGCCUUGUACACACCGCCCGUCACACCAUGAGAGUCGGGAACACCCGAAGUCCGUAGUCUAACCGCAAGGGGACGCGGCCGAAGGUGGGUUCGAUAAUUGGGGUGAAGUCGUAACAAGGUAGC
RNAcentral lists this ribosomal RNA (216 nucleotides) under uncultured bacterium. RNAcentral describes it as "partial 16S ribosomal RNA". It matches the Rfam family "Bacterial small subunit ribosomal RNA", at positions 1284 to 1500 of the family's 1533-position model. The record is from RNAcentral.